Scophthalmus maximus (turbot) is the source of this 2265-nucleotide long non-coding RNA. The record is from Ensembl. Lineage: Eukaryota; Metazoa; Chordata; Actinopteri; Pleuronectiformes; Scophthalmidae.
AUGUCUGCUUUUUCCCUCUCUCUUGAGUUAUCUACAUGUCUCUUUCCCUCUCUAAUGCAUGGCUCUUUUUUUCAUCCUUUUUUUCGCUUUCUCAUGCUGGGCAAAAAGAUGAAGGGUAAGCAUGGUAAGACCAUUGUAGGAAAGAAAGAGAGCCAAACAAAGGAGAGAAAGCUCUCAAAGCAGAGUAGCUUCCCUUCGUCUUCCCCACCUCGUAGGGGGGACACUGUCUCCGCUUGCCAGGCGUUGCCCGCCGAGGUCCCGUUGAGCCGCAGCGCUCGACAGAGACAGAAGAGGACCGGCCAGAACAAAGAGAAUCUGAUCAUGGCCACGGGCAAGCUGGAGAGGAGACCAAGUAAAAACAAACCUCAGAGUGUAGGGGACAUCGGGAAGGCAUCCAAGCACUGUCCCAGGCCAGGUCAGGGUGAAGGCCAGCUGAUAGAGGUUGGCAAGAAGCAGGUGCCACGCUCCAAACAAAGUCCCGAAAACAAAAACACAUCUUCAGGUGUUGGCUCUGAAGCUGCGGUGGCCAAAGUUAAGCAAGUGCAGCCCCAAGCGUUUAAAAGCAAACCGAUUGUCGUGCAAAGUCAAUAUGCUGGAGUUGGUUCGCCAGGUACACGUGCUCACAAGGACUCGCCUGGCUUUCACCUGAGUGACGCCCUGGAUGAGGAAAGUACGGGAAGCUCUCGACUGGUUUCUGAGGUGAACAGAGACUCAGAAUCUAAAGAGGACUUGGAUUUAUCCAAAAAAUCUAAGAACGAGAAAAACAAAAAAGAGGCUCAGUCAAAGAAACAGUCCAAGCUCGCAAAAAAAAGUCACAAAGAGCCGUUAGAUGAGAUUGGCCUGCUUUCCGCGACUGCCUCGCUUGCUGCCGGAGCGGUGUUAAUGAAAGAGGUGGUGUCCAGAAGCUGUUUCAGCUCGCCGACGACGUCCCCGUCUGAGAGCAGUGGCGUCCUGAAAGACGGCGUGAGGAAAUCAAGAAGUGAUGAGCCCGGAUCUGCUGACCUGAGCAACAAAUCUGCAGUCAGCAUCAGUAUCAUACCUGCGUCUGAGAGUCCUGAAGCGAGGACGAGUCGGGAGGAGAAGAAGGCAAUGAGUCAGGAUGGACGUACGGAUGGCAGUGAGGAGCAGACAAGCUCUGCAACAGUCAAGCAGGAGGAGGAGGAGGAGGAGGUUGAAGAAGAUGAGAGGGGGCAGAGAAUGAGUGCAGAAGUAAGCGAGGAGGAAGAAGAAGAAGAGGAGGAAGAGAGUGUUGAUAAAAUCGCAGCAGAGGAAGAAAAUGACAAAGACAGCGACACUCUGAAGAUGGAAGUUAAGUCAGAAACUAGCUUAGAUGAGGAGGAAGACGAGAGUGCUGCUGAGGAAGAGGAGGAGGAGGAGGAGGAAGAGGAUGCAAGCAGGACAGCAGGGAGCGAAAGUGAAGAUGAGACUGAAGAGAAAGAGAGCAAAGGAGGUGAUGAUCAAGAGGAGGAGGAGGAAGGCGAGGAAGGGUCAAGUCAUGAAACAGAAAGCAAAGGAGGUUUGACCGAAAAUGAGGAGGAGGAAGCUGAAGAAGAAGAAGAAGAAGAAGAAGAAGAAGAAGAAGAAGAGGGGGAUUUGGAAAGCGAGGGCGAGGAAGAGGAGGAUGAGAGUGAAUCUUUAAAGUCUUCAGAGGACAGAGAAGAGAGUGAUGUUGAGAGCAUGAGUGAGGGAGAGGACGAGUGGAAAAAGGAGAGUAGCACUGAGGAGGAAGGGGAGAGUGAUGACGAAAAUGAGGAAAGUGAAGAAGAGAAUGAGGAGGAAGAGGAAGAGGAGGAGAGUGAAAAUGAAGAGCAGGAGGAGGAGGAGGAAGAAGAAGCAGAGGAUGAGAGUGCUGACAAAGAGACGGAUGAAGAAAAACAGAGUGAAGAAGAGGAGGAGGAUGAAGAAGACGAGGAAGAUGGUGCUGAGGAAGAGGAAGAAGAAGAAAAAGAGAGUGAGGAUGAGGUAGUGGAAGAGGAGGAGGAGGAGGAAGGAGAGGAGAUGAAGGAGGAGGAAGAAAGUGAGGAAGAUGAAAUGGAAGAUAAUGAAGAAGAGGAGGAAGAGAGUGAGGGAGAGCAAGAUGAAGAGGGUGAAGAGGAGGAGGAGGAGGAGGAGGAGGAGGAGGAGGAAGAAGAAGAGGUCAAAAAAGUCAAAAGACAAAGUGCAAAAUCUACAAGUAAACCGAGGUCAGGGGUCAGAGGUCAUGCAGCGGGGGAGUCUGAGGAGCUUUGGGGCGAAGUUCUGCCUCAGUACCUCCACCUGAAAUAA